CGACCUAAUCGUUGGACUGCAGGAGAUACUGUUGGGCUAGGAGGCGAGAGAGGCCGACGGUAUUCUCGGGGUAGGGGUGAAAUCCUAUAAUCCCGGGAGGACCACCAGUGGCGAAGGCUGUCGGCUAGAACGCGCUCGACGGUGAGGGACGAAAGCUGGGGGAGCGAACCGGAUUAGAUACCCGGGUAGUCCCAGCUGUAAACGAUGCGGGCUAGGUGUUGGGGUGGCUACGAGCCACUUCAGUGCCGCAGGGAAGCCAUUAAGCCCGCCGCCUGGGGAGUACGGCCGCAAGGCUGAAACUUAAAGGAAUUGGCGGGGGAGCACCACAAGGCGUGAAGCUUGCGGUUUAAUUGGAGUCAACGCCGGGAACCUUACCGGGGGCGACAGCAGAAUGAAGGCCAGAUUGAAGGUCUUGCCGGACAAGCUGAGAGGAGGUGCAUGGCCGUCGCCAGUUCGUGCCGUGAGGUGUCCUGUUAAGUCAGGCAACGAUCGAGACCCGCGCCCUAAGUUGCAACCUGGUACGGCUUACCGUUCAGGGCACACUAAGGGGACCGCCGCCGACAAGGCGGAGGAAGGAGCGGGCCACGGCAGGUCAGUAUGCCCCGAAUCCCCCGGGCCACACGCGAGCUGCAAUGGCAGGGACAAUGGGUUCCGACCUUGAAAAAGGGAGGCAAUCUCUAAACCCUGCCUCAGUUGGGAUCGAGGGCUGCAACCCGCCCUCGUGAACAUGGA
This 732-nucleotide ribosomal RNA is filed under the name uncultured crenarchaeote. RNAcentral describes it as "bacterial SSU rRNA". It matches the Rfam family "Archaeal small subunit ribosomal RNA", at positions 555 to 1286 of the family's 1478-position model. The record is from RNAcentral. Lineage: Archaea; Thermoproteati; Thermoproteota.